UGGGGAAGAGUAUGUCAUCAUAAACAUGUUGCACCAGAGAUUGAAACCUUCUCUGAGGGUUAUUUUGUGGUAUCUCUUGUCUCCUCCUAAAUCAAUUGCAGCAGCAACUACAACAAAUAAACAAGAAUUAAGCAUAGAAGAAACAAACCACAACUAGCCAAGACAUAUAAGAAAGAAAGAAAACAUAAAAUUAAUUAAAAUAUGAUUUAGGGUUUGUACCUUUAGGAACGGAACCAGCGUUGUGUUCUUCUUCUCCUACUAAAUCCUUCUCAUUCGAGACGCCAGGCAUCGCCAUCAGGUGGCUGUUGAGAGAGGAGAGGAGAGGGUAGGGUUGAGACUUGAGAGAGGAGAGCAAGAAUGGAAUGAAUCAAAGUCAACAUGCAUGAACAUGAACAAAC
RNAcentral lists this long non-coding RNA (398 nucleotides) under Lotus japonicus. RNAcentral's name for it is "long non-coding RNA (LJAP_LNC002136)". The record is from RNAcentral. Lineage: Eukaryota; Viridiplantae; Streptophyta; Magnoliopsida; Fabales; Fabaceae.